RNAcentral lists this ribosomal RNA (319 nucleotides) under uncultured eukaryote. RNAcentral's name for it is "partial 18S ribosomal RNA". It matches the Rfam family "Eukaryotic small subunit ribosomal RNA", at positions 1470 to 1796 of the family's 1831-position model. The record is from RNAcentral.
CCCCUAGAUGUUCUGGCCGCACGCGCGCUACACUGAACAGUUCAACAAGUCUUAACCUUGGCCGAUAGGUCUGGGUAAUCUUUGAACGCUGUUCGUGAUUGGGAUAGACCUUUGCAAUUAUGGGUCUUCAACGAGGAAUUCCUAGUAAACGCAAGUCAUCAGCUUGCAUUGAUUACGUCCCUGCCCUUUGUACACACCGCCCGUCGCACCUACCGAUUGAAUGGUCCGGUGAAAUCUCGGGACGGCGGCUUGGUCGCUUGCGUCCGACUGCUGAAACUUGAUUAAACCAUAUCAUUUAGAGGAAGGUGAANUCGUANCA